This 784-nucleotide ribosomal RNA is filed under the name Salmonella enterica subsp. diarizonae. Its description in RNAcentral is "partial 23S ribosomal RNA". It matches the Rfam family "Bacterial large subunit ribosomal RNA", at positions 711 to 1496 of the family's 2925-position model. The record is from RNAcentral. Lineage: Bacteria; Pseudomonadati; Pseudomonadota; Gammaproteobacteria; Enterobacterales; Enterobacteriaceae.
AGACCCGAAACCCGGUGAUCUAGCCAUGGGCAGGUUGAAGGUUGGGUAACACUAACUGGAGGACCGAACCGACUAAUGUUGAAAAAUUAGCGGAUGACCUGUGGCUGGGGGUGAAAGGCCAAUCAAACCGGGAGAUAGCUGGUUCUCCCCGAAAGCUAUUUAGGUAGCGCCUCGUGAAUUCAUCUCCGGGGGUAGAGCACUGUUUCGGCUAGGGGGCCAUCCCGGCUUACCAACCCGAUGCAAACUGCGAAUACCGGAGAAUGUUAUCACGGGAGACACACGGCGGGUGCUAACGUCCGUCGUGAAGAGGGAAACAACCCAGACCGCCAGCUAAGGUCCCAAAGUCAUGGUUAAGUGGGAAACGAUGUGGGAAGGCCCAGACAGCCAGGAUGUUGGCUUAGAAGCAGCCAUCAUUUAAAGAAAGCGUAAUAGCUCACUGGUCGAGUCGGCCUGCGCGGAAGAUGUAACGGGGCUAAACCAUGCACCGAAGCUGCGGCAGCGACACUUUAGUGUUGUUGGGUAGGGGAGCGUUCUGUAAGCCGUUGAAGGUGUCCUGUGAGGGGUGCUGGAGGUAUCAGAAGUGCGAAUGCUGACAUAAGUAACGAUAAAGCGGGUGAAAAGCCCGCUCGCCGGAAGACCAAGGGUUCCUGUCCAACGUUAAUCGGGGCAGGGUGAGUCGACCCCUAAGGCGAGGCCGAAAGGCGUAGUCGAUGGGAAACGGGUUAAUAUUCCCGUACUUGGUGUUACUGCGAAGGGGGGACGGAGAAGGCUAUGUUGGCCGGGC